GGAGUUUGGGCCGUGUCUCAGUCCCAAUGUGGCGGAUCAUCCUCUCAGACCCGCUACGGAUCGUCGGCUUGGUAGGCCUUUACCCCACCAACUACCUAAUCCGACAUCGGCUGCUCGAAUAACGCAAGGUCCGAAGAUCCCCUGCUUUCACCCGUAGGUCGUAUGCGGUAUUAGCUAAUCUUUCGAUCAGUUAUCCCCCAUUACUCGGUACAUUCCGAUGCAUUACUCACCCGUUCGCCACUCGCCGUCAGUAGUGCAAGCACUACCACGCUGCCGUUCGACUUGCAUGUGUAAAAGCAUGCCGCCAGCGUUCAAUCUGAGCCAUGAUCAAGCUCU
Molecule: ribosomal RNA, 336 nt
Filed under: uncultured Succinivibrionaceae bacterium
Lineage: Bacteria; Pseudomonadati; Pseudomonadota; Gammaproteobacteria; Aeromonadales; Succinivibrionaceae
Description: partial 16S ribosomal RNA
Source: RNAcentral